ACAUGUCUCGCACGCUGCUUUAAAGCUCACCGACACUUGUUUACUACGGCGCGGCAGCGAAACCGAACAACGUUUACGAAACAGGCAGCCUCUCCAGAUGCUGAAAUCAAGCAUCACUCAUUAAAUGCCAGAGGAGCGAUACGAAACAAAGCCGAAAGAAGCCAUGCAAGAAAGUCUGCAGCAUGUAGUGGGCCCAGCCAAGUCCUCAUUGUUCGGUCAGACAUCUUUCUUGGCACAGUUGAGUGACUUCUUAAAUGCUCCUGACAGAGCUACUAAGGAUCCAAGCCUCUCUAUGAACAGCCUAAACCUUACAUAUCCCACCAUCGGGAAGCCCCCGUCAGAAGUCUGCUUUGUGCUUUCCCGAGCCCAUUCUCACCAACCAGCCCGACUGGAGGUGAUGAGGUGGAUGAAGUUGUAGAAGUCAACGCAUGGCAGUCAUAUGUAACCGAGGCCGCUGUGUGAUGUGGGAAACAUUAGUGUACAGCCUCAGCAGAAGCAUGAAGGCACACGCGGGGUGUGCGGCUCGAACAAAUAAGGCUCUCUGUGUUUUGCAGUGAAUACCUCUGCAGCCUUAUUACUAGUUUGAAGUGUGGUCUGCUGGCGAUGACAUCAAUGACCAACAGAGUGCUCUGGUUUCCUCUUCAGGCUUGGAAACUGCUACUUUGAACUUCAACAACUUCUCCCUUCAUUCCUUAUAGCUAUAGACACUAUAUCUGUAUUCAUUUUCAUUGUCAAUACUGAUUAUUUGUAAUCAAGGAGACUGAUAAUCGAGAUUUGGAGCAGCAUAUACAUUUGGUG
Molecule: long non-coding RNA, 798 nt
Organism: Thalassophryne amazonica
Lineage: Eukaryota; Metazoa; Chordata; Actinopteri; Batrachoidiformes; Batrachoididae
Exons: 3
Source: RefSeq, a predicted model, not a curated record